This 253-nucleotide ribosomal RNA is filed under the name uncultured bacterium. RNAcentral describes it as "partial 16S ribosomal RNA". It matches the Rfam family "Bacterial small subunit ribosomal RNA", at positions 524 to 776 of the family's 1533-position model. The record is from RNAcentral.
UACAGAGGUCCCAAGCGUUGUUCGGAUUCACUGGGCGUAAAGGGUGCGUAGGUGGUGAGGUAAGUCGGAUGUGAAAGCUCGGAGCUCAACUCCGAAAUGGCAUUGGAAACUACCUUGCUCGAGGGUUGGAGGGGGGACUGGAAUACUUGGUGUAGCAGUGAAAUGCGUAGAUAUCAAGUGGAACACCAGUGGCGAAGGCGGUUGCCUGGAGCUUUGCUGACGCUGAGGCGCGAAAGCGUGGGGAGCAAACAGG